RNAcentral lists this ribosomal RNA (257 nucleotides) under uncultured bacterium. Its description in RNAcentral is "partial 16S ribosomal RNA". It matches the Rfam family "Bacterial small subunit ribosomal RNA", at positions 524 to 778 of the family's 1533-position model. The record is from RNAcentral.
UACGGGGGGGGGCAAGCGUUGUUCGGAAUUACUGGGCGUAAAGGGCUCGUAGGCGGCCAACUAAGUCAUACGUGAAAUCCCUCGGCUUAACCGGGGAACUGCGUCUGAUACUGGAUGGCUUGAGUUCGGGAGAGGGAUGCGGAAUUCCAGGUGUAGCGGUGAAAUGCGUAGAUAUCUGGAGGAACACCGGUGGCGAAGGCGGCAUCCUGGACCGAUACUGACGCUGAGGAGCGAAAGCCAGGGGGAGCAAAACGGGG